AUUGAACGCUGGCGGCAGGCCUAACACAUGCAAGUCGAGCGGCAGAGAGAAGCUUGCUUCUCUUGAGAGCGGCGGACGGGUGAGUAAUGCCUAGGAAUCUGCCUGGUAGUGGGGGAUAACGUUCGGAAACGGACGCUAAUACCGCAUACGUCCUACGGGAGAAAGCAGGGGACCUUCGGGCCUUGCGCUAUCAGAUGAGCCUAGGUCGGAUUAGCUAGUUGGUGGGGUAAUGGCUCACCAAGGCGACGAUCCGUAACUGGUCUGAGAGGAUGAUCAGUCACACUGGAACUGAGACACGGUCCAGACUCCUACGGGAGGCAGCAGUGGGGAAUAUUGGACAAUGGGCGAAAGCCUGAUCCAGCCAUGCCGCGUGUGUGAAGAAGGUCUUCGGAUUGUAAAGCACUUUAAGUUGGGAGGAAGGGCAGUAAAUUAAUACUUUGCUGUUUUGACGUUACCGACAGAAUAAGCACCGGCUAACUCUGUGCCAGCAGCCGCCGCCG
Molecule: ribosomal RNA, 500 nt
Filed under: uncultured bacterium
Lineage: Bacteria
Description: partial 16S ribosomal RNA
Rfam family: Bacterial small subunit ribosomal RNA
Source: RNAcentral